This is a long non-coding RNA of Chelonia mydas (Green sea turtle), 1376 nucleotides long. RefSeq lists it as uncharacterized. The record is from RefSeq and is a predicted model, not a curated record. The transcript has 3 exons. NCBI's taxonomy places the organism in Eukaryota, Metazoa, Chordata, Testudines, Cheloniidae.
AGGGCCUAAACCUUCUAGAGUUUGACACUGUAUGGCUAUACAGGAAGGACAGGAAACACUGGAUGUGGUUUAAUCAAGAAGGCCUCAUCUCUCCUUUCUUUAGCUCCUGCACAAAAGCUUCAAAUUCAAAUUCAAAUUCUUUAGGUGUAUUUUAGUAAUUACCAUACACAAUUAUAAAAAAAAUGUAGUUAAACUUGUAGAAGGAGCCACUCUCAUUAGGAAACAUGCAGUCAUAACAGACAGCGCCAAAGUAACCCUGAACACAUUUAGCAAAAUCUACUACACUUUUGUUAUAAGACCACUAUCUUUCAGCAACUGAUUUUCACUGAUUCCUCGCAUGGCUUUUCUUUCUGUUUCUUCUUCAGCUGUCCCUAAACUUCAUUUUGCUAAUGUAUGUUUUUCCCCCCUGAAAAAAUCAGGUGGACCAAAUGCAUUUCUACUUUUUUUACCAAGCUAUUAGAAAGCUGCAAAAAGCUAUUAGGGAGUUCCUAACUCUGGCAAACAAAUCCUCACAGGCUCUUUAAAAAAAAAAUCCAGGUCCAACCCUGCCUGCCUAUCUGUUUGUCAGGUUCACAGAGACCUGCCUCAAAAGAAAAAAAAAUCCGUAUUAUGUAGGAGGAACAGACCAUCUGCAGUGGGCUCAGAGAGACAAUUAAAAAAAAAAAAAAAAGGAGGCGGAAGAUCUGCGGCUACAUUCGCAGUCACUGAAGACCCUGAGACCCAGGAACUGGCAGAGAGUGAGAGAGAGAGAGAGAGAGAGAGAGAGAGAGAGACUGUGGGUGAAACUGGAAGCAGGAUGUACAAGAAUUGUCACUGCACAAGGAAAAAUUCUAAAAAAGUACAACAGUGUCAAGAUCCGAGAAAGCAUGAUAAAAAAGUGAAAUAAGAACUUAUGAAGUUUUCCAGAAGAUCUACUACCCCUACGCUGGCUAAGGUAGAAAGACGGACAAGGAAGUCUGAAAAAAGCAUGUCAUCUGAAUAUUUCACUAAGAUCAGGAAGGAGCUGGAUGUUUCAUCAGCAAAUAACCGGAUAUGAAGGCUAAGGGCUGAGCUUCCUUCUGUUUAAAAAAAAAAAAAGACCUAAGGGGGAAAAUAAAGUGCCAUUCAACAAAGAAGCUACAGUGUAAUCAAUGAAGGCAAGACUGGCACAAGUCCUAGAACAUUUGCAUUCAGAAAUAAACGCCGUGAUCGACCUUUGUCUGGUUUUAAACAGACUGGUGAAGGGAGGAGUAGACUUGAGAGGGAGGGAGAAUGAACCCCCACAAAAAAUUAAUAACUGUACUGCAUCCUUAAUAACCUGCAACUGAUCAUUUAAAAUUAAUCUGAACCUUGAUGGUCCAAUAUGUAUUGCAGGUUAAAAAUAAAUGAAUACAUAG